Molecule: long non-coding RNA, 1419 nt
Filed under: Oryctolagus cuniculus (rabbit)
Lineage: Eukaryota; Metazoa; Chordata; Mammalia; Lagomorpha; Leporidae
Description: lncRNA (ENSOCUG00000031336.1)
Source: RNAcentral
UCAAAUUUAUCAUAGAGGACAAAUAACCAAUGUUCUAAACACUGCAGAUUAUAAUGCUGUAUUUUGGUUUGGGGUCCUGCAACCCCAAAGUAAAUGUAUGAGACAUUAUUUUUCUCCCAAAAGGCAGUAAAAGCCAGUUUUUCUCUCACCCAUGUUACUCAUUAAGCACUUCAGUGUUUACUGAAGAAUCUUGGAAAAAAUUUACUUCUGACUGGCACAAAAUGAGGUUUUUUUAAAUCCCCCAUCUGCAGUUAGAAUCCACUUCAAGAAAUGCAUUAGUUGGCUUCCUAUUUCCCAAGGGACUUGAAAGCAAACUUGCUGUACGUUGAUACACUACAACCAUUGGUUCUCAGGUAUGCCCAGGUACUCAGCCUGUCUCCCUGAGGUUGUUAGCUUCGCUAGUUGAGAGAAUUUUAAUCUCCAAGAUCGACCUCUUUCAGAAACAAAGGGGGAGGGGAGUAAAGAAAGAAAAAGUACACACCUGCAACCUAUUUCUUUUUGAAGCAAAGCCUUUGAGCAGAUGGGAGAUGAGAUAGAGAAAGAAAACAGGCCAAUUGCCAAGAGAGGUUUGUUUACAAUACAGGCAAGUUCCUUCAGAAGCUGAUAGGAAGCUGUUGCCAUGGAGAUGAGGAGAACUAUUGCUGCAGGGUUUCACAGAACAAAUUCCUACUAUAAAUGUACCUGGACUUGCGGAGAACUCAGAGGGCUUCCAUAGCCUUGGAAACUCAUGACUGGAGCAUAGGGAGAUUACUGAUGCCAUAGACAGGAGUGUCAAUUGGUAAAGUCAACAACAGGAGUCACUGUGCACUUACUCCUCAUGUAGGAUCUCUAUCCUUAAUGUGCUGUACAUUGAGAUUUAAUGCUAUAACGAGUACUCAAACAGUAUAUUUCACUUUGUGUUUCUAUGGGGGUGCAAACUGUUGAAAUCCUUACUUAAUGCAUACUAAACUGAUCCUCUGUAAAAAAAAAAAAAAAAAAAGAAAAAAAAAAAAGAAAUUAUCAAUUCCCAACUUGACUCUCACUGGGAUUAAACAUGACAAUAGGUCUGCUCUGAUUUCAUCAUCAUUUAAAAAAAAAAGAAAUUAUCAAUUCCCAACUUGACUCUCACUGGGAUUAAACAUGACAUAGGUCUGCUCUGAUUUCAUCAUCAUUUAAAAAAAAUCACCUAUUAUUUUUCACUUUAUGUUUCUGUGUGGGAGCAAACUGUUGAAAUCCUUACUUAAUGUAUACUAAGCUGAUCUUCUGUAUAUUAAGAUAAUCAAAAAUGAAUCUUGAUGUGAAUGGAAGGGAGAGGAGUGGGUAAGGGGAGGUUGUGGGUGGGAGGGACGGUAUGGGGGGGAAGCAUUGUAAUCCAUAAGUCGUACUUUGGAAAUUUAUAUCAUAAAUAAAGUUUAAAAAAAAAAAGAAUAGGGAAUACUU